AUUGAACGCUGGCGGCAUGCCUUACACAUGCAAGUCGAACGGCAGCACGGGAGCAAUCCUGGUGGCGAGUGGCGAACGGGUGAGUAAUAUAUCGGAACGUGCCCAAUCGUGGGGGAUAACGUAGCGAAAGCUACGCUAAUACCGCAUACGAUCUACGGAUGAAAGCGGGGGAUCGCAAGACCUCGCGCGAUUGGAGCGGCCGAUAUCAGAUUAGCUAGUUGGUGGGGUAAAGGCCCACCAAGGCGACGAUCUGUAGCUGGUCUGAGAGGACGACCAGCCACACUGGAACUGAGACACGGUCCAGACUCCUACGGGAGGCAGCAGUGGGGAAUUUUGGACAAUGGGCGCUAGCCUGAUCCAGCAAUGCCGCGUGCAGGAUGAAGGCCUUCGGGUUGUAAACUGCUUUUGUACGGAGCGAAACGGCUUCCACUAAUACUGGGGGCUAAUGACGGUACCGUAAGAAUAAGCACCGGCUAACUACGUGCCAGCCGCCGCAGUAA
This 500-nucleotide ribosomal RNA is filed under the name uncultured bacterium. Its description in RNAcentral is "partial 16S ribosomal RNA". It matches the Rfam family "Bacterial small subunit ribosomal RNA", at positions 30 to 523 of the family's 1533-position model. The record is from RNAcentral.